CCAAUGGAAAAUUUGAAAGAAACAUGAAACAUGAGAAAAAACUUUCCUUCUCUUCUCCUGCCUAAUCCUUUCUUCAAUUAAUUAAACAACAAAAACUAAACCCCGCACAACAACAUGUUUAAGAGCCGGCCAUGAUUGCCAAGUCGUUAAGACAUACUUUCUCUCCUUCCUCCAAACACCGUUGACUUGAAGCUACCCACAUGCUUGCUUCAACUCCUCUCAUGACCCCAACAAAAACCCACUUCAAGUUUCAAUUUUUGUGCCCAACCCUUUUCCCAUAAGCUUUGGAUUACAUUAUAGUUCAAUAUUUGAUUCAUUCUUUUCUAGCUUCCCAUUUCUCAUUAUUGCCCAAAAUGAGCUUUUUCUGUUAUCUUGACAACUUUUGAGUUUUCAUUGACUAGUUGAGCACAAAUCCAGCCUUUUCAGUUCAUUUAACUUGUCAUCAAUGCCGGACAUGAGCAAAAAGAAGAUCAAAUUUAGCAGUUCUUGGUCAUUGGUGUUAUGGGUCAUUUUUGCUUUUAGUUUGUUACGUUUCGUCCAGUGUCAGGAUGUGGGUGACUAUAAUGAAGUCGACAAUCCUGCUGUUCUUCCUCUCCUCACCCAGCUUGUCUAUAGCAGGCUAUCAAAUUUGACUGCUGUUCUCAGUAGAGAGAUCAGUAACCGGUCCAAUUUCUGCGUGAAGGAUCCGGAAGCUGAUUGGAAUCAAGCAUUCAAUUUUUCUUCCAAUUUGGAUUUCUUGGCUACUUGCAUUCAAAAAACUAAAGGAGAUAUCACACGAAGGAUAUGUACAGCAGCAGAAAUGAAAUUUUACUUCAAUAGUUUCUUUGAGCCAUCAACACAUGACAAUUAUUUGAAACCUAACAAGAACUGCAAUUUAACCUCAUGGGUUUCUGGUUGUGAGCCAGGAUGGGCUUGCAGCGUUGGUCAGGACCAGCCAGUUGACCUUGAAAAUUCACAUAACAUUCCUGCAAGAUCUCGCAACUGUCAGACUUGUUGUGAGGGUUUUUUCUGUCCUCAUGGUAUUACAUGCAUGAUACGUAAGUAUUUGAGAAUGCUAAAAAUUCUUUCUUGCUAGUUCAUGUGGGAAUUGAGAAUCCUUCAAAUGCUAAUUUAUCUUAUUUGGAAUUGCUGUGAGUAUUUGGCGGUACUAAGUUCUAGGUGUUAUAUAUCUUUUUGUCACCUGAAACCAGAAGCUUGAAUUAUGAUUCAUGCUUUAUAAUUAUAUAUUACUAGGUCAUCAUUUAUAUAAAACAGAAGAAGAAAUGUUACUUUAUGUAGUUUCUCCAGUCUACCAUUUAGUUUACUACUUUAUCGCUUCGUAUAUCCCAAGAAUCAAGUUGGAAUGUUGCUUGAUUGAUGUGUAUGUAUGUGUAUUUUCUGGUCGAUCUCUGAUUAUUUUUCUUCUUGUGCCAUCGUUAUUAUUUUCUGAAGCUUGCCCACUAGGUUCCUAUUGCCCACUUGCAAAACUCAAUAACACAACUGGUGUAUGUGAACCAUAUCAUUAUCAACUACCUCCAGGACAGCCAAACCAUACUUGUGGAGGAGCAAACAUAUGGGCUGAUGUUGGUAGUAGUAGUGAGAUAUUCUGUUCAGCAGGAUCAUACUGUCCGACAACAGUCCAGAAAAAUUCUUGCAGUAGUGGGUAUUAGUUUUUCCCCAACCUCUCUUAUCCUUUUGCUGGUUAUGACUAUUCAGUGUGAUGUGUUGACAAUCAGGCUGUAAUAUUUUAACAUUGUAGUUACGGCAUUGAUGUGUGGUUUUGAUGACAAUUAAACAUUUCUGGCUGUCUUUCAUGUUUGUUUGCUGAUGCUAUCUCAUGUCUUUAUGCAAUUUCAGACAUUAUUGCAGGAUGGGUUCCACAUCUGAGAAACGUAAGGAUUUUAUUAUUCUUUUUAUUUUCAUCAACAUUGUUAUUAUUAAAUUUUCCGGCUGUUGUGCAUGUGCACAUGCCUGUGCUGUGUUUCAGAUUUAUUGAAGGUUCAGGAUUCAUAUACAUGCCAUUAUUAUAUAUCUUGUUUUUGUGUCUGGAGUUUUGCAUUUCUUCUCUGCUGUAUCGCUGAAUUUGACCCUUGCCUAUUAACUUGUAGGUUGUUUCAAAUUGACUUCAUGCAAAGCAAACUCUACAAGUCAAAAUAUUCAUGCAUAUGGAAUAAUGCUCAUGGUCGCUUUGACUACAGUGUUACUCAUUAUUUACAACUGCUCUGAUCAAGUUAUCACCACUCGAGAGAGGAGACUGGCCAAAUCUAGGGAAGCAGGGGCAAGAAGUGCAAGGGAAACAGCAAGAGCACGUCAAAGGUGGAAAGUUGCAAAAGAUGCUGCUAAGAAACAUGCAAGUGGAUUGCAAACUCAUCUCUCACGGACUUUUUCUCGUAAAAAAUAUGGAAAAUAUCCUGAACAAUUUAAGAUUUUGAAUCAAGAUAAAUCUGAGAUGGAAGUUGAUUUAUAUCCGCCUUCACACUCGAGUAAUUUUUCUAUUUCUACAUCUCUGCCAUCAUCUGCACCAUCAAAAGGAAAAAAAAAGGAACCUAUUGACCUCAUGCAAAUGAUGCAUGAAAUUGAGGUUGACCCUGAUGGUUAUGAGGGUAUCAAUCUUGAAGUUGCUGAUCCAAAUCCUACAAGACAUAUGCCAGAGGGAGAACAAAUGACUACUCAUACCCAGAUUUUUAAGUAUGCUUAUGCUCAACUUGAGAAAGAGAAAGCUAUGGAGCUAGAGAACAAGAAUCUUACCUUCUCAGGAGUAGUUAAUAUGGCUAUUAAUACUGAAAUCAAGAGAAGGCCUUUAAUUGAGAUUUCAUUCAAAGAACUAACCCUUACUUUGAAAGCCAAGAACAAGCAUCUUUUAAGGGGUGUAACUGGAAAAAUAAAGCCUGGCCGUAUUACAGCCGUCAUGGGUCCAUCAGGAGCUGGAAAGACAACCUUUCUUUCUGCUCUUGCUGGAAAACCAAUUGGAUGCAGGAUGACUGGUUUGAUUCUUAUAAAUGGAAAAAAUCAAUCCAUCCACUCAUAUAAGAAAAUCAUUGGUUUUGUUCCACAAGAUGAUAUUGUACAUGGAAACUUAACUGUGGAAGAGAAUCUCUGGUUCAGUGCUCAUUGCAGACUAUCUGCUGACUUGCCAAAGCCGGAUAAGGUUCUGAUUGUUGAAAGAGUCAUUGAGUCUUUGGGGCUACAGACAGUGCGAGACUCCUUGGUUGGAACGGUAGAAAAGCGAGGAAUUUCAGGAGGCCAGAAGAAGCGAGUAAAUGUUGGACUGGAAAUGGUAAUGGAACCUUCACUUUUGAUCUUAGAUGAACCCACAUCUGGUCUAGACAGUGCAUCAUCUCAGCUUCUUCUUAAAGCACUUCGGCGUGAAGCUCUUGAAGGGGUCAACAUCUGCAUGGUUGUUCACCAACCAAGCUACACCUUGUUCAAAAUGUUCGAUGACUUAGUACUGCUGGCAAAAGGUGGCCUUAUUGUCUAUCAUGGUCCAGCGAAGAAAGUUGAAGAAUACUUUGCUGGCCUUGGGAUUAAUGUGCCAGAGCGUGUUAAUCCCCCUGACCACUAUAUUGACAUUUUGGAGGGUAUAGUGACGCCGAGUCCAAGCUCAGGUGUGAAUUAUAAGGAACUUCCUAUCAGAUGGAUGCUUCAUAAUGGGUACCCCAUACCCCCAGAUAUGCAGCGGUAUGCUGCUGGACUUGCAUCUCCAGUGGACAUAAAUCCAGCGGAUGAAUCAAACCUUGGUGGUUUUGGAAUGGAGGAACAAUCUUUUGCAGGGGAAUUGUGGCAAGAUAUGAAAAGUCAUGUGGAGUUGCACAGGGAUAAGAUACGACAUAAUUUUUUAAAGUCCAGGGACUUGUCAAAUCGGAGAACUCCAGGUGUUUUCUGGCAAUACAGAUACUUCCUUGGCAGAGUAGGUAAACAGCGACUAAGGGAAGCUAAAAUACAGGCAAUAGAUUAUUUGAUCUUAUUGCUUGCUGGAGUCUGCCUGGGAUCCUUGGCAAAAGUAAACGAUCAAACUUUUGGGGCUGCUGGUUACACAUAUACCAUUAUUGCAGUUUCUCUCCUUUGCAAAAUUGCGGCUUUGAGAUCGUUUUCUCUUGAUAAGUUACAAUACUGGAGAGAGAGCGCAUCUGGCAUCAGCAGCUUGGCUUACUUUCUUGCCAAGGAUACAAUUGAUCAUUUUAAUACAGUGAUUAAGCCUGUACUGUAUCUCUCUAUGUUCUAUUCUUUCACAAACCCAAGGUCUUCCUUCACCGAUAAUUAUGUUGUCCUGCUGUGCCUUAUUUACUGUGUAACUGGUAUAGCCUAUGCAUUGGCUAUCUUUUUUGAACCAGGUCCGGCCCAACUGUGGUCAGUUAUUCUUCCAGUUGUUUUGACUCUCAUUGCAACACAAUCAAACCAGAGUAAUACCUUGAAGAACAUAGCUAAUUUAUGCUACCCAAAAUGGGCUCUGGAAGCAUUUGUGAUUGCAAAUGCUGAGAGGUAUUAUGGAGUGUGGUUAAUUACUCGUUGUGGUUCACUUCUGAAAACUGGGUAUAAUCUCCAUCACUGGGGUCUUUGUGUAUUCAUUCUCAUCCUCAUCGGCAUGGUUACUCGUUUUGUGGCAUUCUUUGGUAUGGUAACAUUCAAAAAGAAGUAGAGUUUCACACUUUCAACUCCAUUCUUUUGGCAUUGUAAACUCCUGGUAUCUACUUACAAAUGUGGAAUUCUGCAACAUCAGGAGGCAGUGCCACCUUAAAAAUUCAGUACAAUGAUACAAAAAUUAAGGGUAGUUAAUGAUGCAUAACUAGUGCAGCAUUAUAAUAAUAGUUUGUUUUCUUAGGUUUUCUCAUUUAUACUAUUGUAGGUCAUCCAUUCUUGUAAAAAUAGUUGAUAUAAUGAUUCUCCUUAUCUUUGGUGUGAUAAAGUCACAGAAUUGCAUGGCUAUAAAUCUACUGUUCAUUGUGAUUACAAAUUUACAAAUGUUAGAUGGC
This 4949-nucleotide unclassified non-coding RNA is filed under the name Hevea brasiliensis (rubber tree). The record is from RNAcentral. Lineage: Eukaryota; Viridiplantae; Streptophyta; Magnoliopsida; Malpighiales; Euphorbiaceae.